This 854-nucleotide ribosomal RNA is filed under the name uncultured bacterium. RNAcentral's name for it is "SSU rRNA". It matches the Rfam family "Bacterial small subunit ribosomal RNA", at positions 524 to 1380 of the family's 1533-position model. The record is from RNAcentral.
AACGGAGGAUCCGAGCGUUAUCCGGAUUUAUUGCUUUUAAAGGGUGCGCAGGCGUACUGGUAAGUCAGGGGUGAAAAUCUACGGCUCAUCUGUAGACGUGCCUUUGAUACUGCCGGACUAUAGUUAAGAUGGAGUGGGCGGAAUGUGUUGUGUAGCGGUGAAAUGCUUAGAUAUAACACAGAACAUCGAUCGCGAAGGCAGCUCACUAAACUUUGACUGACGCUCAUGCACGAAAGCGUGGGGAUCAAACAGGAUUAGAUACCCUGGUAGUCCACGCUGUAAACGAUGAUCACUCGCUGUUGGCGAUAUACCGUCAGUGGCUAAGCGAAAGUGAUAAGUGAUCCACCUGGGGAGUACGACCGCAAGGUUGAAACUCAAAGGAAUUGACGGGGGCCCGCACAAGCGGAGGAGCAUGUGGUUUAAUUCGAUGAUACGCGAGGAACCUUACCAGGGCUCGAACGUACAGCGACUUGUCGAGAAAUCGGCAAUCCCUUCGGGGCGAUGUACGAGGUGCUGCAUGGUUGUCGUCAGCUCGUGCCGUGAGGUGUCAGGUUAAGUCCUAUAACGAGCGCAACCCCUAUCGAUAGUUGCCAGCGGUUAAAGCCGGGCACUCUAUAGAAACUGCCUACGCAAGUAGAGAGGAAGGUGGGGAUGACGUCAAAUCAGCACGGCCCUUAUGUCCUGGGCUACACACGUGCUACAAUGGUCGGUACAGAGGGUCGCUACCGGGUGACCGGAUGCUAAUCUCAAAAGCCGAUCUCAGUUCGGAUCGGAGUCUGCAACCCGACUCCGUGAAGUUGGAUUCGCUAGUAAUCGCGCAUCAGCCAUGGCGCGGUGAAUACGUUGGCCGGGAC